GAUCAUGGCUCAGGACGAGUGCUGGCGGCGCGCCUAACACAUGCAAGUCGAACGAGAGAUGAGGAGCUUGCUCUUCAAAUCGAGUGGCGAACGGGUGAGUAACGCGUGAGGAACCUGCCUCAAAGAGGGGGACAACAGUUGGAAACGACUGCUAAUACCGCAUAAGCCCACGGCUCGGCAUCGAGCAGAGGGAAAAGGAGUGAUCCGCUUUGAGAUGGCCUCGCGUCCG
This 229-nucleotide ribosomal RNA is filed under the name uncultured bacterium. Its description in RNAcentral is "partial 16S ribosomal RNA". It matches the Rfam family "Bacterial small subunit ribosomal RNA", at positions 15 to 239 of the family's 1533-position model. The record is from RNAcentral.